Molecule: small nuclear RNA, 98 nt
Filed under: Procavia capensis (Cape rock hyrax)
Lineage: Eukaryota; Metazoa; Chordata; Mammalia; Hyracoidea; Procaviidae
Source: RNAcentral
CUGAUUCAGCAGCACAUGUUCUAGAAAUGGGAGGAUCCAGAGAAGAAGAGCAUGGCCCCUGCAAGAACAAGCAAAUUUGUAAAGUCUAAAAUAAGUUA